AAGGUGGAUAUCUAGAGGGCGAGAGAGGGGUGGUGAUUUUUGAAGCUUUACUGUUGGGUCUAAAAUAAAAGGUAAAAGGACUAGCUGACCUGAAUUGGGGUCUGGAAAGGCAAUCAGAGCACGAGUACCGGUCAUUUCAGCAGAGGAAGGAUUGAUUCCCCACCCUACCCAACCGGAAGGAGAGAUGAAGGUACCAGAAAAUACAAGGUCUAGGGUGGCAUUGUGGGCAUGAAAUGUCCAAGCUAUCGAGGCUUGCUGGGUAGGGAGUGUCAUGCAUUUUUCAAAGGUCUUAGUGGGUGUGGUGAUG
This 307-nucleotide long non-coding RNA is filed under the name Populus trichocarpa (black cottonwood). Its description in RNAcentral is "long non-coding RNA (PTRI_LNC003351)". Lineage: Eukaryota; Viridiplantae; Streptophyta; Magnoliopsida; Malpighiales; Salicaceae. The record is from RNAcentral.